Molecule: ribosomal RNA, 496 nt
Filed under: uncultured bacterium
Lineage: Bacteria
Description: partial 16S ribosomal RNA
Rfam family: Bacterial small subunit ribosomal RNA
Source: RNAcentral
GAUGAACGCUAGCGGCAGGCCUAAUACAUGCAAGUCGAGGGGUAUCCCGCUUUCGGGCGGGAGAGACCGGCGCACGGGUGCGUAACGCGUAUGCAACCUACCCAUAUCUGGGGGAUAGCCCGGAGAAAUCCGGAUUAACACCGCAUAAAAUCACAGUACGGCAUCGUACAAUGAUCAAAUACUGAUAGGAUAUGGAUGGGCAUGCGUGUCAUUAGCUGGUUGGCGGGGUAACGGCCCACCAAGGCGACGAUGACUAGGGGAUCUGAGAGGAUGGCCCCCCACACUGGUACUGAGACACGGACCAGACUCCUACGGGAGGCAGCAGUAAGGAAUAUUGGUCAAUGGGCGGAAGCCUGAACCAGCCAUGCCGCGUGCAGGAAGACGGCCCUCUGGGUUGUAAACUGCUUUUAUUCGGGAAUAAACCUGCAUACGUGUAUGCAGCUGAACGUACCGAAGGAAUAAGGAUCGGCUAACUCCGUGCCAGCAGCCGCGGUAA